UACGAAGGGGGCUAGCGUUGCUCGGAAUCACUGGGCGUAAAGCGCACGUAGGCGGCUUUCUAAGUCAGGGGUGAAAUCCUGGAGCUCAACUCCAGAACUGCCUUUGAUACUGGAGAGCUAGAGUCCGGAAGAGGUGAGUGGAACUGCGAGUGUAGAGGUGAAAUUCGUAGAUAUUCGCAAGAACACCAGUGGCGAAGGCGGCACUCUGGGCCGGAACUGACGCUGAGGAGCGAAAGCGUGGGGAGCGAACAGG
Molecule: ribosomal RNA, 253 nt
Filed under: uncultured bacterium
Lineage: Bacteria
Description: partial 16S ribosomal RNA
Rfam family: Bacterial small subunit ribosomal RNA
Source: RNAcentral